UACAUGCGCCCAGGGCAUUGGAAGGAGAACUUGACAUCGGCCAUGCUGAUUCGGGCAGUCAUGUCCUCAUCAAUCUGAGGAAGAGAAGAUAGAUAUGUGGAAGGAGGACUGAUUCUCAUUCAUGCCAGCAACUUCCAAAGCUAUCUAAUUAAGACCUUCCCCUGAGCUUCAAACCCAACCAACCACCACCUGAAAUCCCAACAAAACCAUAUGAUUCAUUGUCUUCAUCAUCUCCCAUGAGCCUUUCUCUCAUUAAAUGGUACCAUUCUUCA
Neofelis nebulosa (Clouded leopard) is the source of this 272-nucleotide long non-coding RNA. RefSeq lists it as uncharacterized. The record is from RefSeq and is a predicted model, not a curated record. Lineage: Eukaryota; Metazoa; Chordata; Mammalia; Carnivora; Felidae. The transcript is spliced from 2 exons.